GGCACGCCCAUGUCACGUGAUAGUAUUCGCGUCACACAUUCACACACGUGCUACCACAAUCCAGAGCUGUGGUGGUAAACGGAGGUGAACAUGGCCGAUGUGUCGGAAAGGACGUUACAAGUGGCUAUUCUAGUUUCGUUUGCUGCUGGUUUUGUAGCUGGGUGGCAGGCAAACAGAAUGCGAAGAAGAUUCUUGGAUUGGCGAAAAAAGCGUUUGCAGGACAAACUCGCAGAAACACAGAAAAAGCUGGACCUGUCAUGACAGAUACAGUUAAAUGUGAGCAGUGAACAAAAUACUAUUAAACCGACUUUGUGUCUAGAAAAGACAACAAAGCCAUCUGUACUAUAGUGACAGCAGUUUUGACUUCACAACCGGAUUGAGGGAUCUGCCUUAAAUAACAGCAUUUCUCCAGAAUUUACCAGGAUUCAGGCUUUCAACCUUGGAUCAAAGACACUCCACUGGAUAGAGAAAAAACAUUGCAAAUAAUGUCAGACAAAGACACUUGAGAAAAAUGUUGUAUUUGUAGGUUUUCCUUUCUGUAAUAUUUGUUCAAUCCCAAACCGUGUUGUUUCCAUGUAUGUGCUGUUUUAUUUGCCUGUGGCAGUUGAAAUAAAAAAAUAUUUUUAUUAACUGUU
Misgurnus anguillicaudatus (oriental weatherfish) is the source of this 635-nucleotide long non-coding RNA. RefSeq annotates it as encoded micropeptide. Lineage: Eukaryota; Metazoa; Chordata; Actinopteri; Cypriniformes; Cobitidae. The record is from RefSeq and is a predicted model, not a curated record.